This 253-nucleotide ribosomal RNA is filed under the name uncultured bacterium. Its description in RNAcentral is "partial 16S ribosomal RNA". It matches the Rfam family "Bacterial small subunit ribosomal RNA", at positions 524 to 776 of the family's 1533-position model. The record is from RNAcentral.
GACAGAGGCCUCGAGCGUUAGGCGGAAUUACUGGGCGUAAAGCGCGUGUAGGCGGCUCUUCAAGUCAGGCGUGAAAGCCCCGGGCUUAACUCGGGAACUGCGCUUGAUACUGUCGAGCUAGAGUGUGGAAGGGGCGAUUGGAAUUCCGUGUGUAGCGGUGAAAUGCGUAGAUAUACGGAGGAACACCAGAGGCGAAGGCGGAUCGCUGGGCCAACACUGACGCUGAGACGCGAAAGCUAGGGGAGCAAACGGG